UGGUUGUCCAAAGGUAGUGAGUUAUUUCAAUUGAUCAUUCACUGUCAGUUACAGAUUCAUCUCUCCUUGUUCUACUCUUCUCCCCCCCCCCAUUACAUUUGACUAGUGUUAA
Unclassified non-coding RNA from Otolemur garnettii (small-eared galago), 112 nucleotides. It matches the Rfam family "Y RNA". Rfam says of the family: Y RNAs are components of the Ro ribonucleoprotein particle (Ro RNP), in association with Ro60 and La proteins. The Y RNAs and Ro60 and La proteins are well conserved, but the function of the Ro RNP is not known. The record is from Ensembl. NCBI's taxonomy places the organism in Eukaryota, Metazoa, Chordata, Mammalia, Primates, Galagidae.